Molecule: ribosomal RNA, 201 nt
Filed under: uncultured bacterium
Lineage: Bacteria
Description: partial 16S ribosomal RNA
Rfam family: Bacterial small subunit ribosomal RNA
Source: RNAcentral
UACGUAGGGUGCAAGCGUUGUCCGGAAUUAUUGGGCGUAAAGAGCUCGUAGGCGGUUUGUCGCGUCUGCUGUGAAAACUCGGGGCUUAACUCCGGGCCUGCAGUGGGUACGGGCAGACUAGAGUGCGGUAGGGGAGACUGGAAUUCCUGGUGUAGCGGUGAAAUGCGCAGAUAUCAGGAGGAACACCGGUGGCGAAGGCGG